AAGGCAAUAUCUGGGACUGUAUGACAGCCGGGCCCACGAGGAUGGCCUCCCCGCUGGGCACACUCAGGUGGGGGCAGCAAGGAUGCAUUGACCAGGCCUAGGUCCUGUGUGGAGAGGUCAUCCAGGUUGGGAUUAUGGGCAGUGGGAUAAAGGUCCACCGAUGCCCACUGAGACUGAGGACACCAGAUAAGAGAUCUCCAGCCAUAGCAAAUGGUUGGGCCUCAGUGGCCUAUGAAGGGUCAGAAGAGCCUGGAACCACUGACUUCUUUGACCUCCACCCUCUCUUUCUCAGGCCCUCCCAGGAACAGGCCCUCACCAUGCUCAAGAUGUCAUCUCUGUCUUUAGGGUUUGUGCUUGUCCACUGAGACUCAUUUCCUGGGAAGCAGAGAAUUCAAGUGAGUUUUCUUCCCCUGGGAACCUUCUCCAGCCCUAAUUAGAAGCCUAAUUUCACAGGUCCAGCUGAACCAGAGAGUUCUUUGUUCUGACUCAUCUGUCUGCUGACUCCAAUCACUACCCAGUCUAUUCUCAGGACACUGCCUCUUGCCCUUAUCCCUUCAAAUUCCCUCCCUAUCUGUAUCCCUGGUGGCUGGCACAGGACCGGCCAAAGCAAGUGCCUAGUAAAUGACUGAGCACACACAUCUGUGUGUUUCCACCAGCAUCAGAAUUAUUGUUGUUCGUGCCUGGUACAGAGUCUGGCACUCUUGAGAGGAUGCCUAUUCCCCAGUCCUGGUGUUCCUGGCCAUGUGGAAGGAAAUGUGCUGGUGCAAUAGUCCGAGCUCCUCUCCACCCUGUCACUCACAUGGCCCAGGGGAAGAGCGGUGAUUUAUUUGGUUGGUGACUUUGGGAGAAGAAGCUGGGCAUGCCUGGUCCUGCCCCUUCCUCUUCCUCUCUAGGGAGUAAGCACCCUGCAUGCAUUGAGCUCUGCUCCUCUAGGGUGAGACAGUCCCUGUCCAGCAUGGCCACGACUCACUGGCAGAAGUAAAAGAAGAAAUUGGGCCUGCUCUGUUGACUUAUUUUUCAUCUGACUCAGAACCAAAAAAGGAAGUUUGCUGCUGGCUACUGGCAUCAUAGAUGAAGAUGAGACUGAUGAGAGCACAGAAGCCUUCCUCGGUGAAGCGGGUAAAGUAGCGCACCAGCACGCUGGCCUCCGUGGCCACCAGCACCAGGCAAAAGAUGGCCACCCAGAUGCCAACCCACAGGCGGAAGGGCAGGUAAUCCAGGCUGUGAUCUCUGGGGGAGGUGAGAGUCAGCAGGGUUUGCCUGGGCCCACUCUUAAUCCCAACCUAACCCAGGUCAGGUGCCCCUGGAGCCAGUUUCUACCCUCCCCUACUGACCCAGCUGAUACCAGGCUGAGGGUGUGCUAGUGAGGUCAGGUGAGGUGGGAA
Bubalus bubalis (water buffalo) is the source of this 1385-nucleotide long non-coding RNA. RefSeq lists it as uncharacterized. The transcript has 3 exons. Lineage: Eukaryota; Metazoa; Chordata; Mammalia; Artiodactyla; Bovidae. The record is from RefSeq and is a predicted model, not a curated record.